UACGUAGGGUGCGAGCGUUAAUCGGAAUUACUGGGCGUAAAGCGUGCGCAGGCGGUUCGUUAAGUCAGAUGUGAAAGCCCCGAGCUCAACUUGGGAACUGCAUUUGAAACUGGCGGGCUGGAGUGUGGCAGAGGGGGGUGGAAUUCCACGUGUAGCAGUGAAAUGCGUAGAGAUGCGGAGGAACACCGAUGGCGAAGGCAGCCCCCUGGGCCAACACUGACGCUCAGGCACGAAAGCGUGGGGAGCAAACAGG
Molecule: ribosomal RNA, 253 nt
Filed under: uncultured bacterium
Lineage: Bacteria
Description: partial 16S ribosomal RNA
Rfam family: Bacterial small subunit ribosomal RNA
Source: RNAcentral